AGGCGUAGGGCAGCCCGGCCCCACUUAGCACGAGUGUGCUGGGAAGUUUCUAAAACAUCUCGAAAAGGGGGAAUUGAGCGGGGAAAGAGCUUUACCUGGAGUGGCUGGUUUUUCCAUGUGUGAUGGAAGUAUAUCACCUUAGAAAGUCAUGAACAUGGUUAUUAAAAACAAGCGCACAUAGAAUUAUAGUUCCUAUUUAAUAAUUUGAGCCAACUUCAGCAGAAACAUGGGACUGAUUUUCAUCACGGAUACCGAUCAUGCCCCAGAAUUUUUUAAUUCCUGGGCACAACCACCACACAUGAAAGAAGGUUGCCACUUGUGAUUUACAUCUCCAACAUUUGUUAUUGUGGCUUCUGUUG
Podarcis muralis (Common wall lizard) is the source of this 359-nucleotide non-coding RNA. Lineage: Eukaryota; Metazoa; Chordata; Lepidosauria; Squamata; Lacertidae. The record is from RefSeq and is a predicted model, not a curated record.